AACGAACGCUGGCGGCAUGCCUAACACAUGCCAGUCGAACGAGACCUUCGGGUCUAGUGGCGCACGGGUGCGUAACGCGUGGGAACCUGCCCUUAGGUUCGGAAUAACUCCCCGAAAGGGGUGCUAAUACCGGAUAAUGUCUCGGAACAAAGAUUUAUCGGCUUUGGAUGGGCCCGCGUUGGAUUAGCUAGCUGGUAGGGUAAAAGCCUACCAAGGCGACGAUCCAUAGCUGGUCUGAGAGGAUGAUCAGCCACACUGGGACUGAGACACGGCCCAGACUCCUACGGGAGGCAGCAGUGGGGAAUAUUGGACAAUGGGCGAAAGCCUGAUCCAGCAAUGCCGCGUGAGUGAUGAAGGCCUUAGGGUUGUAAAGCUCUUUUACCCGGGAUGAUAAUGACAGUACCGGGAGAAUAAGCUCCGGCUAACUCCGUG
RNAcentral lists this ribosomal RNA (432 nucleotides) under uncultured bacterium. RNAcentral's name for it is "partial 16S ribosomal RNA". It matches the Rfam family "Bacterial small subunit ribosomal RNA", at positions 29 to 507 of the family's 1533-position model. The record is from RNAcentral.